GACGAACGCUGGCGGCGUGCUUAACACAUGCAAGUCGAACGGACAGGCCCUGCUUUUGUGCGGUGCUCGAGUGGCGAACGGGUGAGUAGCACGUGAGUAACCUGCCCUUCACUUUGGGAUAUCUUCAUGACGCUGGGGCUAAUACCGGAUAGGAUCUCCUGCUGCAUGGUGGGGGUUGGAAAGUUUCGGCGGUUGGGUAUGGAGUCGCCGCUGCUCAGCUUGUUAGUGGGGUAGUGGCUUACCAAGGCUCUGACGGGUAGCCGGCCUGACAGGGUGACCGGCCACACUGGGACUGGGAUGCGGCACAGACUCCUACGGGAGGCAGCGGUGGAGAAUAUUGCACAGUGGGCGGAAGCCUGAUGCAGCAACGCCGCGUGCGGGAUGACGGCCUUCGGGUUGUAAACCGAUUUCGCCUGUGCCGAGGCGUGAGUGACGGUAAUGGGUAAAGAAGCACCGGCUAACUACGUG
Molecule: ribosomal RNA, 468 nt
Filed under: uncultured bacterium
Lineage: Bacteria
Description: partial 16S ribosomal RNA
Rfam family: Bacterial small subunit ribosomal RNA
Source: RNAcentral